GGAGGCGCCGCCCUUCCCUCAGGGAGCCGCGGGGCUCGGGCAGGGGGGAGCCGUACAGCCCGCCGGUCAGAGAACAUCCCGCGUGCCGCCGGAGCUGUGUCUCGCUGUCCCGUUGUGCAGUGUGUGUCUCUGAGCCGGGGGGCUCCAGGUGCCUUUGGGCUGCUGUCCCGAGUGUGAGUCUAGCACCAGAAGAUCAGAAGGGCACUGCCUAAAAACUUCUAAAAUUUCUGGACUGGGUGGCUGUGUUGUUCAAAAGCCAUCUGCAUUGCAUCUGAACAAAGUGAUGCCAUCAAGCUGAUUGCAGGGACUUGAACACUUCAGCAAUUAAUUUCCAAAUGGAGGGUGCAACUGGCUCAGCAAUUCAGUUGCAAAUGGACAGCACAACUGGCUCACACUGGUGAAAUUCCACACGAAGUCCCGACAUUCCUACAGUUCUCCUGGGCUCUGCUGGGCUCCAGCUGCAGUCAGUGAUUGCUUCAAAGCCUGGGGCUGGGAGCAGAGUACAUAGGAACGUGGGUCCUUGUGAAAUACAGAGUUUUGAACCUUUUGAACUUGUGA
Molecule: long non-coding RNA, 558 nt
Organism: Prinia subflava (tawny-flanked prinia)
Lineage: Eukaryota; Metazoa; Chordata; Aves; Passeriformes; Cisticolidae
Exons: 3
Source: RefSeq, a predicted model, not a curated record